This 811-nucleotide ribosomal RNA is filed under the name Fusarium wereldwijsianum. Its description in RNAcentral is "partial large subunit ribosomal RNA". It matches the Rfam family "Eukaryotic large subunit ribosomal RNA", at positions 76 to 917 of the family's 3401-position model. The record is from RNAcentral. Lineage: Eukaryota; Fungi; Ascomycota; Sordariomycetes; Hypocreales; Nectriaceae.
UGCCCUAGUAACGGCGAGUGAAGCGGCAACAGCUCAAAUUUGAAAUCUGGCUCUCGGGCCCGAGUUGUAAUUUGUAGAGGAUGCUUUUGAUGCGGUGCCUUCCGAGUUCCCUGGAACGGGACGCCAUAGAGGGUGAGAGCCCCGUCUGGUUGGAUGCCAAAUCUCUGUAAAGCUCCUUCGACGAGUCGAGUAGUUUGGGAAUGCUGCUCUAAAUGGGAGGUAUAUGUCUUCUAAAGCUAAAUACCGGCCAGAGACCGAUAGCGCACAAGUAGAGUGAUCGAAAGAUGAAAAGCACUUUGAAAAGAGAGUUAAAAAGUACGUGAAAUUGUUGAAAGGGAAGCGUUUAUGACCAGACUUGGGCUUGGUUAAUCAUCUGGGGUUCUCCCCAGUGCACUUUUCCAGUCCAGGCCAGCAUCAGUUUUCGCCGGGGGAUAAAGGCUUCGGGAAUGUGGCUCUCUCCGGGGAGUGUUAUAGCCCGUUGCGUAAUACCCUGGCGGGGACUGAGGUUCGCGCAUCUGCAAGGAUGCUGGCGUAAUGGUCAUCAACGACCCGUCUUGAAACACGGACCAAGGAGUCGUCUUCGUAUGCGAGUGUUCGGGUGUCAAACCCCUACGCGUAAUGAAAGUGAACGCAGGUGAGAGCUUCGGCGCAUCAUCGACCGAUCCUGAUGUUCUCGGAUGGAUUUGAGUAAGAGCAUACGGGGCCGGACCCGAAAGAAGGUGAACUAUGCCUGUGUAGGGUGAAGCCAGAGGAAACUCUGGUGGAGGCUCGCAGCGGUUCUGACGUGCAAAUCGAUCGUCAAACAUGGGCA